Molecule: ribosomal RNA, 253 nt
Filed under: uncultured bacterium
Lineage: Bacteria
Description: partial 16S ribosomal RNA
Rfam family: Bacterial small subunit ribosomal RNA
Source: RNAcentral
UACGAAGGGUGCAAACGUUGCUCGGAAUUAUUGGGCGUAAAGCGCACGUAGGCGGCUUGGCAAGUCGGAUGUGAAAUCCCUCGGCUCAACCAAGGAAGUGCAUCCGAAACUGCCGAGCUUGAGUACUUAAGAGGAUCGCGGAAUUCCCGGUGUAGAGGUGAAAUUCGUAGAUAUCGGGAGGAACACCAGUGGCGAAGGCGGCGACCUGGGAAGAUACUGACGCUGAGGUGCGAAAGCGUGGGGAGCAAACAGG